AGGACACAGCAGCAUGACCAUUUCAACAAGGAUGUAAUACCACUCUCUAAUCAAUCAUGGGGACCAGUUUGCAAACAAGGUCCAAAAUCGUGGUUACACAAGCAGGGACACAUCCUCAGUGCCUUUGAAUUCCAGAAGGACUGGGACCACCAGACUGUUUUAGAACGCAUCAGGGAUGGCUUUGGUGAGCACAUUGCGGACGAUGUCAGCCUUCAGUUUCUCAUGGCUUGUAGCAAUAAGCUGGUGUUCCCAAAGCUCCAGGUUGGUCAGGAGCUGACUGGGAUGCUAAUUCACAAGGUCAUUAAAACCCAAACCUGAAUGUGAGACCAUCAAGGAUCUUUUUAACUGACUCCGAAGAAGAAAGACUGUUCUCCCAUUACUACCAGAACAUUAAGCAUGAGUGACACUAAGGGCAGUGAUGAUGAUUGCGUUGAAGUUGAUGGUCCUCAGAAUCCCACAGACAUGAGCAGUAAUGGCACCACCAGGGCUGCUACCAGGUUUAGAGUAAUGAGGAGUAAUGAGUAUCCCAGUACUAGCAGUCAUGGUGGAAAUGGCAAACCUGGCACUAGUACUGGUCAUAAAGACAGUUUUUUUUGGCUCCAAUCACACUGUCAACAGUAGUGGUCAUGAUAGAGACUGCCUUGCAAGAGAUGAUGGAAACCUUGGCACCAGUGGUACCACAACUGCUCAGGGUGGAGACUACGCUUCAUACUUAACACU
This is a long non-coding RNA of Etheostoma cragini (Arkansas darter), 720 nucleotides long. RefSeq lists it as uncharacterized. Lineage: Eukaryota; Metazoa; Chordata; Actinopteri; Perciformes; Percidae. The record is from RefSeq and is a predicted model, not a curated record. The transcript is spliced from 3 exons.